GGUUGUGGCUUAGUGGUAGAGCACUUGCUUAGCAUGUGCAAGGCCCUGGGUUUGAUCCUCAGGACCA
RNAcentral lists this transfer RNA (67 nucleotides) under Marmota monax (woodchuck). RNAcentral's name for it is "tRNA.Ala". Lineage: Eukaryota; Metazoa; Chordata; Mammalia; Rodentia; Sciuridae. The record is from RNAcentral.